UCACAGAAAUGGAAUUUCUGAAUAGCGUCUUAAAACUGCCAUUUUAAUUAAAAACUAAAUUUCGCUAUAUAUUUUUAAUGAGCUUCUAGAGCAUAACGCCAGGCUUAAUUGAGCUAUAAAUAUAGACACACACGCUGCACUUAUCCCACCAAAUUGGAGUUCAGAUUUAAGUUUUAUUGAUCGCAAACAAGAGCGGAAAUGGCAACUGGUCAAGUUAUGUCUAUUUGCGCUCCCAUGAUUUCCAUCCUCCCCCACCGCCCGAUGAUCGUUGCUGCCGUCGAGCAGCGUGGCCGACGGACGUUCAGGCGAACUCUGCACGUCCGAUCAUGCAGUGGCACUAGUCAUGUGGCUCCCUUGCGGCGGUCGGGGAAUUAUCACCCAAGCCUAUGGACGGACAAGAGUGUGCAAUCCCUCACGAGCACCUCCACAUUGCAAAAAGAAGAGGAACGUGAGAGAAUAAAUGUACUGAA
Molecule: long non-coding RNA, 470 nt
Organism: Zingiber officinale
Lineage: Eukaryota; Viridiplantae; Streptophyta; Magnoliopsida; Zingiberales; Zingiberaceae
Exons: 2
Source: RefSeq, a predicted model, not a curated record